This is a non-coding RNA of Pelobates cultripes (western spadefoot toad), 344 nucleotides long. Lineage: Eukaryota; Metazoa; Chordata; Amphibia; Anura; Pelobatidae. The record is from the annotation of a GenBank genome assembly.
UCGUUCGAACUGCCAUGCCAGGGAACUCCUUGGAGCUGGCUUUGGUGUGCUCGGUCCCUGGUUUCGGUGGGAAGUAGCAGGCGUACUGUCUAGGGGACGGCUGCUCCUCUUUUGCACCCUGCUCUAGGAGGAGGAGGUGGAUGUGGAGUAGGAGGAUGAUACGACUCAUUCAUAUGUCUGCCCUAUCAACUUUCGAUGUUACUAUCUGCGCCUACCAUGGUGACCACGAGUAAUGGAGAAUCAGAGUUCGAUUCCGGAGAGGGAGCCUGAGAAAUGGCUACCACAUCCAAGGAAGGCAGCAGGCGCGCAAAUUAUCCACUCCCGACGCGGGGAGAUAGUGACGA